Molecule: transfer RNA, 72 nt
Filed under: Redigobius bikolanus (speckled goby)
Lineage: Eukaryota; Metazoa; Chordata; Actinopteri; Gobiiformes; Gobiidae
Description: tRNA-Val
Rfam family: tRNA
About the family: Transfer RNA (tRNA) molecules are approximately 80 nucleotides in length. Their secondary structure includes four short double-helical elements and three loops (D, anti-codon, and T loops).
Source: RNAcentral
CAGCACGUAGCUAAAUCAGAAUAGCACCUCCCUUACACCGAGAAGACACCUGUGCAAAUCAGGUCGCGCUGA